This is a long non-coding RNA of Ochotona curzoniae (black-lipped pika), 270 nucleotides long. RefSeq lists it as uncharacterized. The record is from RefSeq and is a predicted model, not a curated record. Lineage: Eukaryota; Metazoa; Chordata; Mammalia; Lagomorpha; Ochotonidae. The transcript has 3 exons.
UAGAAGACAGCACGCCACCAAACGCCUGUGCGUCUAUUGCUAUGCCAGUCGGGGAUGGCUGGGCCCCACCAGCCGCCCCCAUGACCAUUGUCACCAACCUUGGAAUAGGUGUGCAGGCAGCACUGAGCUCCGCCGAGCCGGUGGAAGUGGACAGCCCUGCAGCCUCUGAUGGGCCACAGGGCCACGAUGACCAACUACUGACAUUUGAGACAGGAUGCACCGAGGUGGACUGCGGGCCGGGCUCGGCCCCACACUACCUGGACGUGACCA